This 180-nucleotide ribosomal RNA is filed under the name uncultured eukaryote. RNAcentral's name for it is "partial 18S ribosomal RNA". It matches the Rfam family "Eukaryotic small subunit ribosomal RNA", at positions 1492 to 1667 of the family's 1831-position model. The record is from RNAcentral.
CGCGCGCUACACUGAUGCAUGCAACGAGUUCUCAAUCUCCCUGGGCCGGAAGGUCCGGGUAACCUUUUGAACGUGCAUCGUGAUAGGGAUAGAUUUUUGUAAAUAUUAAUCUUGAACGAGGAAUUCCUAGUAAACGCGAGUCAUCAGCUCGCAUUGAUUACGUCCCUGCCCUUUGUACAC